AGAGUUUGAUCAUGGCUCAGAAUCAACGCUGGCGGCGUGCCUCAGACAUGCAAGUCGAACGCGAAAGUCCCCUUCGGGGGGCGAGUAGAGUGGCGCACGGGUGAGUAACACGUAGGUAAUCUACCUUUGGAUUGGGAAUAACCACCGGAAACGGUGGCUAAUACCGAAUAAUGCAGCGGCACCUAAUGGUGACAGUUGUUAAAGCGGGGGAUCGCAAGACCUCGCGUCUGAAGAGGAGCCUGCGGCAGAUUAGCUAGUUGGUAAGGUAACGGCUUACCAAGGCGAUGAUCUGUAGCCGGCCUGAGAGGGCGGUCGGCCACACUGACACUGACAUACGGGUCAGACUCCUACGGGAGGCAGCAGUCGGGAAUUUUGGGCAAUGGGCGAAAGCCUGACCCAGCAACGCCGCGUGAAGGAUGAAAUCCUUCGGGAUGUAAACUUCGCAAGAACGGGAAGAAUAAGUAAGAGUUAAUAUCUCUUACGAUGACGGUACUGUUUGUAAGCUCCGGCUAACUCCGUGCCAGCAGCCGCGGUAAUAC
Molecule: ribosomal RNA, 539 nt
Filed under: uncultured bacterium
Lineage: Bacteria
Description: bacterial SSU rRNA
Rfam family: Bacterial small subunit ribosomal RNA
Source: RNAcentral